UAGGAAGCAACAACUCUUACCCAGAGAUGAA
Molecule: non-coding RNA, 31 nt
Filed under: Mus musculus (house mouse)
Lineage: Eukaryota; Metazoa; Chordata; Mammalia; Rodentia; Muridae
Source: RNAcentral